GGCGGCGUGCUUAACACAUGCAAGUCGAACGAUGAAGCCCUUCGGGGUGGAUUAGUGGCGAACGGGUGAGUAACACGUGGGCAAUCUGCCCUUCACUCUGGGACAAGCCCUGGAAACGGGGUCUAAUACCGGAUAUGAGCCCGGGAGGCAUCUUCCCGGGUUGUAAAGCUCCGGCGGUGAAGGAUGAGCCCGCGGCCUAUCAGCUUGUUGGUGAGGUAACGGCUCACCAAGGCGACGACGGGUAGCCGGCCUGAGAGGGCGACCGGCCACACUGGGACUGAGACACGGCCCAGACUCCUACGGGAGGCAGCAGUGGGGAAUAUUGCACAAUGGGCGCAAGCCUGAUGCAGCGACGCCGCGUGAGGGAUGACGGCCUUCGGGUUGUAAACCUCUUUCAGCAGGGAAGAAGCGCAAGUGACGGUACCUGCAGAAGAAGCGCCGGCUAACUACGUGCCAGCAGCCGCGGUAAUACGUAGGGCGCAAGCGUUGUCCGGAAUUAUUGGGCGUAAAGAGCUCGUAGGCGGCUUGUCACGUCGGGUGUGAAAGCCCGGGGCUUAACCCCGGGUCUGCAUUCGAUACGGGCUGGCUAGAGUGUGGUAGGGGAGAUCGGAAUUCCUGGUGUAGCGGUGAAAUGCGCAGAUAUCAGGAGGAACACCGGUGGCGAAGGCGGAUCUCUGGGCCAUUACUGACGCUGAGGAGCGAAAGCGUGGGGAGCGAACAGGAUUAGAUACCCUGGUAGUCCACGCCGUAAACGGUGGGAACUAGGUGUUGGCGACAUUCCACGUCGUCGGUGCCGCAGCUAACGCAUUAAGUUCCCCGCCUGGGGAGUACGGCCGC
Molecule: ribosomal RNA, 837 nt
Filed under: Streptomyces sp. IM-7175
Lineage: Bacteria; Bacillati; Actinomycetota; Actinomycetes; Kitasatosporales; Streptomycetaceae
Description: bacterial SSU rRNA
Rfam family: Bacterial small subunit ribosomal RNA
Source: RNAcentral